AGCUAUAAAUCCACAUAACUGAUGCCUCCGCGUAUCGACUUUGUGCGCAUUUUAGCUAUUAUGUGUUCUUUUAAUUAAAAUGAUUCUUUUUAAGAUUCAUCUAUUAAAAAUUUGCUUCGGCAUAAUUUUUUUUGAUGAUCUUGUUACUUUGAGUAAAUUAGAGUGUUCAAAGCAAACAGAUAUAGCAUUUGUGCGUUUGAAUACUACAGCAUGGAAUAACAAAAUUGAACAAGUCAGAAUUUUUUUGUUCUUUUUUCUUAUUUUGGCUUAGUUACGAUUAAUAGGAGUAGCUUGGGGGCAUUUGUAUUCAGAUGUCAGAGGUGAAAUUCUUAGAUUUUCUGGAGACAAACAACUGCGAAAGCAUUUGCCUAAAAUACUUCCAUUAAUCAAGAACGAAAGUUAAGGGAGUGAAGACGAUCAGAUACCGUCGUAAUCUUAACCAUAAACUAUGCCGACUAGGCUUUGGAUGAAAGAUUUUAAAAUAAGAGUUUUUCUUUUCUCUCCGGAGAUUAGAACUCUUAGAUUGCUUCCUUCAGUGCCUUAUGAGAAAUCAAAGUCUUUGGGUUCUGGGGCGAGUAUUCGCGCAAGCGAGAAAGUUAAAAGAAUUGACGGAAGGGCACCACCAGGCGUGGAGCUUGCGGCUUAAUUUGACUCAACACGGGAAAACUCACUAGUUUAAGACAAGAGUAGGAUUGACAGAUUAAUAGCUCUUUCUUGAUUUCUUGGAUGGUGAUGCAUGGCCGUUUUUAGUUCGUGAAUAUGAUUUGUCUGGUUAAUUCCGAUAACGAACGAGAUCUUAACCUGCUAAUUAGCGGCAAAUACGAUAUAUUCUUAUGUAGAAUUGAAUAUAGUGGAUUUGUUAGAUUUUGAAGAAAAUAUUGGAAUUACGUUAAAUGUGAUUCCUUUCCCUUUUCUACUUAAUUUACAUUUCCAUCUAUUUCUUUUUUGCGUAUGAAUGUAUUUGCUUGAUUGUA
RNAcentral lists this ribosomal RNA (974 nucleotides) under Plasmodium knowlesi. RNAcentral's name for it is "SSU rRNA". It matches the Rfam family "Eukaryotic small subunit ribosomal RNA", at positions 636 to 1413 of the family's 1831-position model. Lineage: Eukaryota; Apicomplexa; Aconoidasida; Haemosporida; Plasmodiidae. The record is from RNAcentral.